UGCCUAAACCACCAGCGCAAGCUGGUCGCAUGGCGACUAACUAAGACCAUAGAAAGCACUGAACCCCGCGUUCAGCAGCUUUCUAUGGCCAUGCCCGAAAGGGUAUGGGGCCGCAAGGCUC
This 121-nucleotide small RNA is filed under the name unclassified sequences. RNAcentral's name for it is "LOOT RNA". It matches the Rfam family "LOOT RNA". Rfam says of the family: Latescibacteria, OD1/Parcubacteria, OP11, TM7. The record is from Rfam by way of RNAcentral.